GCAUGGUUUGAUAGAUUCAGUAAGGCCAUGAUCUCCUUUAGAUACUAUCAAAACAAUACGGAUUAUGCUCUAUUUAUGCAACAAUGUAAAGAUAAGAUUACAUUACUUAUUAUUUAUGUUGAUGACAGUUGUGACAAGAAAUGAUAAGGAAGAGAUUGCCAAUAUGAAAGAACUCUUGGCACAGGAGUUUGAGAUUAAAGACUUGGGUAGA
This 211-nucleotide unclassified non-coding RNA is filed under the name Hevea brasiliensis (rubber tree). Lineage: Eukaryota; Viridiplantae; Streptophyta; Magnoliopsida; Malpighiales; Euphorbiaceae. The record is from RNAcentral.